AGUGAAUUCGUUCCCGGGCCUUGUACACACCGCCCGUCACACCAUGGAAGUUGGUCACGCCCGAAGUCGUUACCCCAACCUUUUGGAGGGGGAUGCCUAAGGUAGGACUGAUGACUGGGGUGAAGUCGUAACAAGGUAGCCGUACCGGAAGGUGUGGCUGGAUCACCUCCUUUUAGGGAG
Molecule: ribosomal RNA, 180 nt
Filed under: Anabaena sp. MDT14b
Lineage: Bacteria; Bacillati; Cyanobacteriota; Cyanophyceae; Nostocales; Nostocaceae
Description: partial 16S ribosomal RNA
Rfam family: Bacterial small subunit ribosomal RNA
Source: RNAcentral